GACGAACGCUGGCGGCGUGCUUAACACAUGCAAGUCGAACGAAGUGGCGAACGGGUGAGUAACGCGUACUCAACCUGCCCUUCAGAGGGGGACAACAGUUUGAAACGAAUGCUACUACCGCAUACUGAAGGCGGGGAUUGCGUCGGGUUAGCUAGUUGGGGGGGUAACGGCCCACCAAGGCGAUGAUAAGUAGCCGGUCUGAGAGGGUGAACGGCCAAAUUGGGACGGGGAACGGGCCCAGACUCCUACGGGAGGCGGCAGAGGGGAAUCUUCCGCAAUGGACGAAAGUCUGACGGAGCAACGCCGCGUGAGUGAUGACGGCCUUCGGGUUGGAAAGCUCUGUUAAUCGGGACGCGGUACCGGAAUAGAAGGCCACGGCGAACUACGUGCCAGCAGCCGCGGUAAUUC
This 408-nucleotide ribosomal RNA is filed under the name uncultured bacterium. RNAcentral's name for it is "partial 16S ribosomal RNA". It matches the Rfam family "Bacterial small subunit ribosomal RNA", at positions 28 to 526 of the family's 1533-position model. The record is from RNAcentral.